CAGUCGCCGCGGUAAUACAGAGGGUGCGAGCGUUAAUCGGAUUUACUGGGCGUAAAGCGAGCGUAGGCGGCUUUUUAAGUCGGAUGUGAAAUCCCUGAGCUUAACUUAGGAAUUGCAUUCGAUACUGGGAAGCUAGAGUAUGGGAGAGGAUGGUAGAAUUCCAGGUGUAGCGGUGAAAUGCGUAGAGAUCUGGAGGAAUACCGAUGGCGAAGGCAGCCAUCUGGCCUAAUACUGACGCUGAGGUACGAAAGCAUGGGGAGCAAACAGGAUUAGAUACCCCGGUAGUCCCUGUCUCUUAUAA
Molecule: ribosomal RNA, 301 nt
Filed under: uncultured bacterium
Lineage: Bacteria
Description: partial 16S ribosomal RNA
Rfam family: Bacterial small subunit ribosomal RNA
Source: RNAcentral